AAUACGUUCCCGGACCUUGCACACACCGCCCGUCAAGCCAUGGAAGCUGGGUGUACCUAAAGUCGGUAAUCGUAAGGAGCCGCCUAGGGUAAAACUAGUGACUGGGGCU
RNAcentral lists this ribosomal RNA (109 nucleotides) under uncultured bacterium. RNAcentral's name for it is "partial 16S ribosomal RNA". It matches the Rfam family "Bacterial small subunit ribosomal RNA", at positions 1365 to 1482 of the family's 1533-position model. The record is from RNAcentral.